This 406-nucleotide ribosomal RNA is filed under the name uncultured bacterium. RNAcentral's name for it is "partial 16S ribosomal RNA". It matches the Rfam family "Bacterial small subunit ribosomal RNA", at positions 30 to 526 of the family's 1533-position model. The record is from RNAcentral.
AUUGAACGCUGGCGGCAGGCUUAACACAUGCAAGUCGAGCGAGCGGCGGACGGGUGAGUAAUGUCUGGGAAACUGCCUGAUGGAGGGGGAUAACUACUGGAAACGGUAGCUAAUACCGCAUACCAUCAGAUGUGCCCAGAUGGGAUUAGCUAGUAGGGGGGGUAAUGGCUCCCCUAGGCGAAGAUCCCUAGCUGGUCUGAGAGGAUGACCGUCAACACUGGAACUGAGACACGGUCCAGACUCCUACGGUAGGCAGCAGUAGGGAAUAUUGCACAAUGGGCGCAAGCCUGAUGCAGCCAUGCCGAGUAUGUGAAGCAGGCCUUCGAGUUGUAAAGCACUGUCAGCGAGGAGGCGUUACUCGCAGAAGAAGCAACGGCUAACUACGUGCCAGCAGCCGCGGUAAUUC